UACGGGGGGAGCAAGCGUUGUUCGGAUUUACUGGGCGUAAAGGGCGCGUAGGCGGCCACCGCAAGUCAGUUGUGAAAUCUCUGGGCUUAACCCAGAAAGGUCAACUGAUACUGCGGGGCUAGAGUGCAGAAGGGGCAACUGGAAUUCUCGGUGUAGCGGUGAAAUGCGUAGAUAUCGAGAGGAACACCUGCGGCGAAGGCGGGUUGCUGGGCUGACACUGACGCUGAAGCGCGAAAGAUAGGGGAGCGAACGGG
RNAcentral lists this ribosomal RNA (254 nucleotides) under uncultured bacterium. RNAcentral's name for it is "partial 16S ribosomal RNA". It matches the Rfam family "Bacterial small subunit ribosomal RNA", at positions 524 to 776 of the family's 1533-position model. The record is from RNAcentral.